AGUGAACGCUGGCGGUAGGCCUAACACAUGCAAGUCGAACGGCAGCACAGUAAGAGCUUGCUCUUACGGGUGGCGAGUGGCGGACGGGUGAGGAAUACAUCGGAAUCUACUUUUUCGUGGGGGAUAACGUAGGGAAACUUACGCUAAUACCGCAUACGACCUACGGGUGAAAGCAGGGGAUCUUCGGACCUUGCGCGAUUGAAUGAGCCGAUGUCGGAUUAGCUAGUUGGCGGGGUAAAGGCCCACCAAGGCGACGAUCCGUAGCUGGUCUGAGAGGAUGAUCAGCCACACUGGAACUGAGACACGGUCCAGACUCCUACGGGAGGCAGCAGUGGGGAAUAUUGGACAAUGGGCGAAAGCCUGAUCCAGCCACACCGCGUGGGUGAAGAAGGCCUUCGGGUUGUAAAGCCCUUUUGUUGGGAAAGAAAAGCAGCAGGUUAAUACCCCGCUGUUCUGACGGUACCCAAAGAAUAAGCACCGGCUAACUUCGUG
RNAcentral lists this ribosomal RNA (492 nucleotides) under uncultured bacterium. RNAcentral's name for it is "partial 16S ribosomal RNA". It matches the Rfam family "Bacterial small subunit ribosomal RNA", at positions 29 to 507 of the family's 1533-position model. The record is from RNAcentral.